CCCCUUUUCCCCACCCUUGGCCGCCCCUCCCCCUUCCCCUUGCAGCCACCCUCCACUACUUACUCCUCCCUCUAGAUCUCCCCCCCACGCAGCAAGGAUCGAGAAGAGGAGGAGCAAGAUGGAUUGAAGAGGAAGAGAGGAUCAAGGAGAUGUUCUACCCCCAUCUCUUGCAGAUUUUCUUGGGGAAACCCUAGGUAAGGAUAGGAUCCUUGUUCCUCCCUAUAAUUAUAUGCUUUUGGAGGUUGUGGAUCAUGUGGAUUGAAGGAUUAGAGGUUGGAUUAGAUGUGGGGUUAGGUUUUGAUCUCGAAUUUAAUUUCUGCAGAAUAACAGAUUCAACAGUUUCUGUUCAUGCCAGUUUUCCGUGGUCUUAGUGGCCUCAAAAAAAUAAAAAGUCUAUAUAUGAGUCGUAGAUAAUUUGUAGAUCUUUCCGUAGCCGCGAAGAACACCUCAAUCGGACAUCAGAACAGAAAGUUAUGGCAGUUUGAUUAUAGCAGUUUUUCAGUCUCAUAAUUCUGUGCAGAAUCUGUUCUCUUAAGAGUUAGGCAAUUUUAUCAACAGAAUUAAACUGUGAGUUGGUAAAAGAAGUUGUAGAUAAUUUCAUAAGCUUUCCAGAUUGUUAAAGAGUGCAUUCAUAUGAUUUGUGAAACUCCAGUUAUGUUUGUUUUACUGUGGCUGUUUCUGUUUACCUGACAAAAGUGAGUGGGUCUGUUCACUGGUGAGUUUCAUCUAGUAAAUGGCCGAAUUGGCUCUUCCAACUAUGGAGACUUUUGUAGAGGGAUAAAAGUUCUUACUUCCAGCAGAAUUUCAUAAUUUUUGGUUCAGUAGUUUGGGAGAUAUCGAAUUUUAAAGUUAAUCAUACUGCUGUCUAAAACAGAUUCAGUCAGUUAUCUUGUCAGAUGUUUUAGAACUUGUAGAUGGCAGAAUUUAAUUAUCCAUUGAAUACUGAAGUUGUAGAGUAUUUUGUGUAGAUACUCCAAGAGUAUUUGUUUGAUAUCACCGCUGUUUUAAUUUUAAAGAUACAAAAUUAACAAACAGCGCUGCUGCUGUAUGGCAUGUGGUUCAGGGUGGGAGUCUUUCCACUGGGUCUUGGUUUGUAGGAGUGUUUUGUUGAUUGAUGGCAAAUGUUUGUGAAAUAUUUAUACUAAGUUUUAUGCCCGCUAGCAGGUGGCUAUACUCCAGAUCAUGUCUAGUACAUUUCUUCUUCUUCGAUGAAGGCAAGUGAAUGUAACGGUGGUUGCUUCCGUUCUAACCUUUUAUUUCUAUUGCCUACACUCUAAUAUUCAGAAGUAUUGGAUUCUUUCAUAAUUGGACUCUAUGGUGAUGCUUUACUUGCUUGCAUUAUACUGAUGCUCAAUCAUAUAUUGAUGAUGAUUAUGAUUCGAGUAUGAUUCAUGAGAUUAAUUCACACCCCUGAAGGUAAAUGAAGUAUUAUUUGAGGUUGGUAUUGUAUCUGAAGGUAAAUGAAGUAUUAUUUGAGGUUGGUAUUGUAUCUGAAGGUAAAUAAAAUAUUAUUUGAGGUUUGUAUUGUAUCGGAAGGAAGUGAAGGUUAUUGAUAAAUGCAGCAUGCCAUAUACAUUGCAUGACUCAUUUGCAUCUGAAGUUUUGUCGUGACCUAUGGUCCGACCGUACCGGUACAAUUUAGCAUCGUACGUUGCCCGAGGAGGGGUACGAUGCGGCUUCAUACCCUUAGAGGUAUGAAGACAGAGGACAUAUGCAUUGCAUUCAUAUGCAUUCAUUGAAGUGAUAUUUGCAGAUGAUGUGGUUUUAUACUCUCAGAGGUAUGAAGAUAGAGUACCUACACAUUGCAUUCCUAUGCAUACAUUGAAGUGAUAUUUGCAGGUAUUAUUGACGCACGGAAGUGUUAUAGAACCUAUUGUGGUUGUUCGAGGAAAUGAGAUGGUAUUGGUUAUAGUGGGACUACUGAGUUCCAUAUCUACAAGUAUUUCUGAUUUUAAUUGUGACUCUUUUAAAAUGUUGAUGAAUUCAAUUUGUGGUUUAAAGAUCUUGUCAAAAUUAUUCGCUUGCUGAGAUGUUUCAUCUCACUCUUGCAUUACUCAAUGCAGGUGCUUGUUGCUCAUCAAGGGAAGUGGGAAGUAGCAGCACAUCCACCUUCACUCUUAUAAUAACACUGCUUAGGCGCAGUCAUGAUUUAAUUAGAAGCUUCUUGUCAAAGGACGUUUGUUUCUAACUAGUUGUGCGCACUGGAUAAUUUAGCUCAUGUCGUUAUGGUUGUCUUCCCAUUGCUAGCAGACUAUUAAUGUCUAUUAUGUUUUCUUAUCAUGAUAUCUAUUUAUACUUUGUUGCUUCCCCGUU
Molecule: long non-coding RNA, 2313 nt
Filed under: Zea mays
Lineage: Eukaryota; Viridiplantae; Streptophyta; Magnoliopsida; Poales; Poaceae
Description: long non-coding RNA (ZMAY_LNC000060)
Source: RNAcentral